Molecule: ribosomal RNA, 468 nt
Filed under: uncultured bacterium
Lineage: Bacteria
Description: partial 16S ribosomal RNA
Rfam family: Bacterial small subunit ribosomal RNA
Source: RNAcentral
GACGAACGCUGGCGGCGUGCUUAACACAUGCAAGUCGAACGGAAAGGCCCUGCUUUUGCGGGGUGCUCGAGUGGCGAACGGGUGAGUAACACGUGAGUAACCUGCCCUUGACUUUGGGAUAACUUCAGGAAACUGGGGCUCAUACCGGAUAGGAGCUCCUGCUGCAUGGUGGGGGUUGGAAAGUUUCGGCGGUUGGGGAUGGACUCGCGGCUUAUCAGCUUGUUGGUGGGGUAGUGGCUUACCAAGGCUUUGACGGGUAGCCGGCCUGCGAAGGUGACCGGCCACAUUGGGACUAAGAGACGGACCAGACUCCUACGGGAGGCAGCAGUGGGGAAUAUUGCGCAAUGGGCGGAAGCCUGAUGCAGCAACGCCGCGUGCGGGAUGACGGCCUUCGGGUUGUAAACCGCUUUCGCCUGUGACGAAGCGGGAGUGACGGUAAUGGGUAAAGAAGCACCGGCUAACUACGUG